GAUGAACGCUAGCGAUAGGCUUAACACAUGCAAGUCGAGGGGCAGCACAAGGUAGCUUGCUAUCUGGGUGGCGACCGGCGCACGGGUGCGUAACGCGUAUGCAACUUGCCCUAUACAGGAGGAUAACCCGUCGAAGGACGGACUAAUACUGCGUAUGCUCACAACUUGGCAUCAAGUGGUGAGGAAAGAAAUUCGGUAUAGGAUAGGCAUGCGUCCCAUUAGCUUGUUGGUGAGGUAACGGCUCACCAAGGCAACGAUGGGUAGGGGAACUGAGAGGUUUAUCCCCCACACUGGUACUGAGACACGGACCAGACUCCUACGGGAGGCAGCAGUGAGGAAUAUUGGUCAAUGGGCGCGAGCCUGAACCAGCCAAGUCGCGUGAAGGAUGACUGUCUUAUGGAUUGUAAACUUCUUUUAUACGGGAAUAACAAGAGUCACGUGUGACUCCCUGCAUGUACCGUAUGAAUAAGCAUCGGCUAACUCCGUG
Molecule: ribosomal RNA, 487 nt
Filed under: uncultured bacterium
Lineage: Bacteria
Description: partial 16S ribosomal RNA
Rfam family: Bacterial small subunit ribosomal RNA
Source: RNAcentral